UACGUAGGGUGCGAGCGUUUGUCCGGAAUUAUUGGGCGUAAAGGGCUCAUAGGCGGUUUGUCACGUCGGGAGUGAAAACUCGGGGCUUAACCCCGAGCCUGCUUCCGAUACGGGCAGACUAGAGGUAUGCAGGGGAGAACGGAAUUCCUGGUGUAGCGGUGAAAUGCGCAGAUAUCAGGAGGAACACCGGUGGCGAAGGCGGUUCUCUGGGCAUGUCCUGACGCUGAGGAGCGAAAGUGUGGGGAGCGAACAGG
Molecule: ribosomal RNA, 254 nt
Filed under: uncultured bacterium
Lineage: Bacteria
Description: partial 16S ribosomal RNA
Rfam family: Bacterial small subunit ribosomal RNA
Source: RNAcentral